GACGAACGUUGGCGGCGUGCUUAAUACAUGCAAGUCAACUGAAGCAGUGGUAGCAAUAUCGCUGUGGAGGUGGCGCACGGGUGAGUAACACGUAGGUAAUCUGCCUUCAGGUCUGGCAUAACUCCGGGAAACCGGGGCUAAUAGCAGAUGAUGCAGCGGCUCGACAUCGAGACAGUUGUUAAAGCUAUGGCGCCUGAAGAUGAGCCUGCGUCUGAUUAGCUAGUUGGCGGGGUAACGGCCCACCAAGGCAACGAUCAGUAGCUGGUCUGAGAGGAUGAUCAGCCACACUGGAACUGAGACACGGUCCAGAAUCCUACGGGAGGCAGCAGUAAGGAAUAUUGCUCAAUGGGAGAAAUCCUGAAGCAGCACCGCCGCGUGAGGGACGAAGGGCUUUUGCUUGUAAACCUCUGUAGUGAGAGAAAAAAAUCCCAAUCUUUGGGACAUGAUGGUAUCUCAAAAGUAAGCCCCGGCUAACUACGUG
RNAcentral lists this ribosomal RNA (481 nucleotides) under uncultured bacterium. RNAcentral describes it as "partial 16S ribosomal RNA". It matches the Rfam family "Bacterial small subunit ribosomal RNA", at positions 28 to 507 of the family's 1533-position model. The record is from RNAcentral.